Molecule: long non-coding RNA, 240 nt
Filed under: Gallus gallus (chicken)
Lineage: Eukaryota; Metazoa; Chordata; Aves; Galliformes; Phasianidae
Source: RNAcentral
CACCUGCAGCCCAUCACUUGGCCAUGGCUUUGAUGGCGACGGCCGCCUCCUCAGUCAUCGCCGACAGCACCGUGAUCAGGAUCUCCUCCCCGCAGUCGUACUUCUGCUCGAUCUCCCUUCCCAGCUCCCCCUCGGGCAGCCGCAGAUCCUCCCUCACCUCCCCGCUGUCCUGCAGCAGCGACAGGAAGCCGUCCUGGAUCCCGAUCAGCUGGAAGUCGCAGCGCUUGAUGUUGGGGACGU